Molecule: ribosomal RNA, 428 nt
Filed under: uncultured prokaryote
Description: bacterial SSU rRNA
Rfam family: Bacterial small subunit ribosomal RNA
Source: RNAcentral
UGAGGAAUUUUGCGCAAUGGGAGCAACCCUGACGCAGCAACGCCGCGUGGGCGAUGAAGGCCUUCGGGUCGUAAAGCCCUGUCAGGUGGGAAGAAUGUCCCGGUACUGAACAGGUUCCGGGAGUGACGGUACCACCAGAGGAAGCACCGGCUAACUCCGUGCCAGCAGCCGCGGUAAUACGGAGGGUGCAAGCGUUAUUCGGAAUUACUGGGCAUAAAGCGCGUGUAGGCGGUCCUGCAAGUCUGAUGUUAAAGCCCCGGGCUUAACCCGGGAAGUGCAUUGGAAACUGUGGGACUUGAGUACUGGAGAGGAUGGGGGAAUUCCCGGUGUAGAGGUGAAAUUCGUAGAGAUCGGGAGGAAUAUCAGUGGCGCAGGCGCCCAUCUGGACUGUAACUGACGCUGAGACGCGAAAUCGUGGGGAGCAAACA